GUGGACAUAGUAUAAGGGUAGUAUGACGGGCUUCCAACCCGUUGGUGCGAGUUCGAAUCUCGUUGUCCAUA
Molecule: transfer RNA, 71 nt
Filed under: Siphoviridae sp. ctHip2
Lineage: Duplodnaviria; Heunggongvirae; Uroviricota; Caudoviricetes
Description: tRNA-Gly
Rfam family: tRNA
About the family: Transfer RNA (tRNA) molecules are approximately 80 nucleotides in length.
Source: RNAcentral